Molecule: non-coding RNA, 432 nt
Filed under: Selaginella moellendorffii
Lineage: Eukaryota; Viridiplantae; Streptophyta; Lycopodiopsida; Selaginellales; Selaginellaceae
Description: rRNA LSU_rRNA_eukarya
Rfam family: Eukaryotic large subunit ribosomal RNA
Source: Rfam by way of RNAcentral
UGUGCCACAAUAGUAAUUUAACUUAGUAUGAGAGGAACUGUUGAUUUGCACAAUUGGUAAUUGUGCUUGGUUGAAAAGCCGGCGUGAAGCUAUUAUACAUGGGAUUAUGACUCAAUGCCUCUAAGUCAGAAUCCAUGCUAGAUGCAAUGCUCUCUACCUCCUCAGCUGUUACCUAAUUAAGGUUAGGGGGGUCCUGUGCUCCCCUGAGAACACAUGACACAAGCACCGUCCCCCGGGCUCCCCCGAGAACAUAUGACAUGAGCACUGUCCCCCGGGGCCAAUGCUGCCCCAGAGGUGCAGCUUGGAAAUCCAAUUUCAAACGAUCAAGGAGAUAAAUCUUUUGCAAACAACUUAAAUAGGGGACGGGAUAUUGUGAGUGGUAGAGUAGCUUUGCUGUUACGAUCCAUUGAGGUUCCCACAAACCUUUUGUCU